UACCCCGAGAAAAAGAAAUCAACCGAGAUUCCCCCAGUAGCGGCGAGCGAACGGGGAGCAGCCCAGAGUCAACAUCAAUAUUUACCACAGGAGAAGGGUCUGGAAAAGCCGGCAAUAAAGGGUGAUAGCCCCGUAUCUAAAGCGGUAAGUGUUGUGAACUCGAAGAGUAGGGCGGGACACGUGUUAUCCUGUCUGAAUAUGGGGGGACCAUCCUCCAAGGCUAAAUACUCCUGACUGACCGAUAGUGAACCAGUACCGUGAGGGAAAGGCGAAAAGAACCCCGGCGAGGGGAGUGAAAUAGAACCUAAAACCGUGUACGUACAAGCAGUAGGAGCACCCGAAAGGGUGUGACUGCGUACCUUUUGUAUAAUGAGUCAGCGACUUAUAUUCUGUAGCAAGGUUAACCGCAUAGGGGAGCCGUAGGGAAACCGAGUCUUAACUGGGCGUUAAGUUGCAGGGUAUAGACCCGAAACCCGGUGAUCUAGCCA
This 488-nucleotide ribosomal RNA is filed under the name uncultured bacterium. RNAcentral's name for it is "bacterial LSU rRNA". It matches the Rfam family "Bacterial large subunit ribosomal RNA", at positions 207 to 736 of the family's 2925-position model. The record is from RNAcentral.